GGGAAAUUUGGACCCGGCCCACAGGGAAAGUGGGAUCGAGCCAUUAGGUGUGCAGGCGUUCUCCAAUGCCAGCCAUAUUGGGGGAGAGGGGCGUUCGAGGAUCGUAAGGCCCUGGGCCAACAGGGACGCCCUAUAGUAAAGGGAUAUAUUGGGAACACCCAGACCUCCUUUUGUGAACGGGCGCCAUAGUGAGUUUUGCGCUAUCCUGGGGGGUUUCCUCUUCCAAAUAUGAGCAUUGAUCAUGGCCUGGAAUUUCUUUAGGAGCGAGUUUGGGAUUGUAAUGGGGAGAGUGCGGAAUAAGUAUAAAAUGUGUGGGAGGAUCAUCAUUUUUACAGUGUGGAUACGUCCUAACCAGGAGAUCUCCUUCUCCUCCCAGGACUUGAGGAGUUGCUCUAGUUUGUGAAUGAGUGGCAAGUGGUUUUCGUGCGUUAAUGCUGAGAGCCUCGUUGGCAAUUUAAUACCCAAGUAUGAAAUGGAGGAGUUCCGCCACUCAAACGGGUAUAGUGUUUUUAGAGGGUUUAAAGAGGUAGGUGGCAGUCCCAAUGCCAAUGCUUGUGUUUUUUUGGCGUUGUUUUUAUAGAACGAGACCUUACCGUAAGUUUCCAGCAAAGUUAGUAGGUUUGGUAAGGAUUUUGCUGGACGUGAUAAGAAGAGAAGGACAUCGUCAGCGAAUAGGGCUAUUUUUUGAGUCCCGAUGGGGGUAGAUAGGCCUUCGAUCGAAUUGUCAC
Non-coding RNA from Pelobates cultripes (western spadefoot toad), 728 nucleotides. The record is from the annotation of a GenBank genome assembly. NCBI's taxonomy places the organism in Eukaryota, Metazoa, Chordata, Amphibia, Anura, Pelobatidae.